RNAcentral lists this non-coding RNA (22 nucleotides) under Arabidopsis thaliana (thale cress). Lineage: Eukaryota; Viridiplantae; Streptophyta; Magnoliopsida; Brassicales; Brassicaceae. The record is from RNAcentral.
AGUUAAGCAUGCACAACAAUAG